UACGUAGGGGGCAAGCGUUGUCCGGAAUCAUUGGGCGUAAAGAGCGUGUAGGCGGCUCGGUAAGUCCGCUGUGAAAGUCCAGGGCUCAACCCUGGAAUGCCGGUGGAAACUGUCGAGCUAGAGUCCGGAAGAGGAGAGUGGAAUUCCUGGUGUAGCGGUGAAAUGCGCAGAUAUCAGGAAGAACACCCGUGGCGAAGGCGGCUCUCUGGGACGGUACUGACGCUGAGACGCGAAAGCGUGGGGAGCGAACAGG
RNAcentral lists this ribosomal RNA (253 nucleotides) under uncultured bacterium. Its description in RNAcentral is "partial 16S ribosomal RNA". It matches the Rfam family "Bacterial small subunit ribosomal RNA", at positions 524 to 776 of the family's 1533-position model. The record is from RNAcentral.